AUAUUGCACAAUGGGCGAAAGCCUGAUGCAGCGACGCCGCGUGGGGGAUGAAGGCNUUNNGGUUGNANACCCCUUUCAGCAGGNNNNNAGCGAGAGUGACGGUACCUGCAGAAGAAGCGCCGGCUAACUACGUGCCAGCAGCCGCGGUAAUACGUAGGGCGCAAGCGUUGUCCGGAAUUAUUGGGCGUAAAGAGCUCGUAGGCGGUCAGUCGCGUCUGCUGUGAAAACCCGAGGCUCAACCUCGGGCCUGCAGUGGGUACGGGCUGACUAGAGUGUGGUAGGGGAGACUGAAAUUCCUGGUGUAGCGGUGGAAUGCGCAGAUAUCAGGAGGAACACCGAUGGCGAAGGCAGGUCUCUGGGCCACAACUGACGCUGAGGAGCGAAAGCAUGGGGAGCGAACAG
Molecule: ribosomal RNA, 402 nt
Filed under: uncultured bacterium
Lineage: Bacteria
Description: partial 16S ribosomal RNA
Rfam family: Bacterial small subunit ribosomal RNA
Source: RNAcentral